UUGACCUCAAAUCAGGUAGGACUACCCGCUGAACUUAAGCAUAUCAAUAAGCGGAGGAAAAGAAACUAACAAGGAUUCCCCUAGUAACUGCGAGUGAAGCGGGAAAAGCUCAAAUUUGAAAUCUGGCGGUUCUUGAACUGUCCGAGUUGUAAUCUAGAGAAGUGUUACCUGUGCUGAACCGUGUACAAGUCUCCUGGAAUGGAGCAUCAUAGAGGGUGAGAAUCCCGUCUUUGACAUGGACUGCCUGUACAUUAUGGUGCGCUCUCAAAGAGUCGAGUUGUUUGGGAAUGCAGCUCAAAAUGGGUGGUAAAUGCCAUCUAAAGCUAAAUAUUGGCGAGAGACCGAUAGCGAACAAGUACCGUGAGGGAAAGAUGAAAAGAACUUUGGAAAGAGAGUUAAACAGUACGUGAAAUUGCUGAAAGGGAAACGCUUGAAGUCAGUCACGUUGGCUAGAAAUCAGCCUUGCUCUUGCUUGGUGUACUUUCUGGUUGAUGGGUCAGCAUCAAUUUCGACCAUUGGAUAAAGUCUCUGGGAAUGUGGCAUCUUAGGAUGUGUUAUAGCCCAGGGUCGCAUACGGUGGUUGGGAUUGAGGAAUUCAGCACGCCGCAAGGCCGGGUUUCGACCACGUUCGUGCUUAGGAUGCUGGCAUAAUGGCUUUAAUCGACCCGU
RNAcentral lists this ribosomal RNA (669 nucleotides) under Inocybe leiocephala. RNAcentral describes it as "eukaryotic LSU rRNA". It matches the Rfam family "Eukaryotic large subunit ribosomal RNA", at positions 1 to 652 of the family's 3401-position model. The record is from RNAcentral. Lineage: Eukaryota; Fungi; Basidiomycota; Agaricomycetes; Agaricales; Inocybaceae.